This 460-nucleotide ribosomal RNA is filed under the name uncultured bacterium. RNAcentral's name for it is "partial 16S ribosomal RNA". It matches the Rfam family "Bacterial small subunit ribosomal RNA", at positions 338 to 795 of the family's 1533-position model. The record is from RNAcentral.
CCUACGGGUGGCAGCAGUGAGGAAUAUUGGUCAAUGGGCGAGAGCCUGAACCAGCCAAGUCGCGUGAAGGAUGAAGGACCUAUGGUUUGUAAACUUCUUUUAUAUGGGAGUAAAGGGAGGACCGUGUUCCUUUUUGUAUGUCCCAUAUGAAUAAGCAUCGGCUAACUCCGUGCCAGCAGCCGCGGUAAUACGGAGGAUGCGAGCGUUAUCCGGCUUUCUUGGGUUUAAAGUGUGGGUAGGUGGGUAAUUAAGUCAGGGGUUAAAGUUUGUGGGUCAACCCUACAAGUGCCGUUGAAACUGGUUGUCUUGAGUAUAUUUGAGGUAGGCGGAAUGCGUGGUGUAGCGGUGAAAUGCAUAGAUAUCACGCAGAACUCCGAUUGCGAAGGCAGCUUACUAACCUAUAACUGACACUGAUGCACGAAAGCGUGGGGAUCAAACAGGAGUAGAUACCCCUGUAGUC